Molecule: small nucleolar RNA, 246 nt
Organism: Cavia aperea (Brazilian guinea pig)
Lineage: Eukaryota; Metazoa; Chordata; Mammalia; Rodentia; Caviidae
Product: small nucleolar RNA, H/ACA box 53
Source: Ensembl
AACAUGCUUCCUUAGAUCCACCUUUGUGGAUGAAUCUUGAACUGAGUUCUGCUUGUAAACAUCUUGUUGCUUGUAGUUCCAGUCAAAGAAACAUCCAGCAACUUUUUUGGUUGUACAGUCGAAGGUGCUUGAGUCAUUGGCAUGUGAGAGAAAUAUACCUGCAUAUCAGUCCAAAGUUCUGAUAGAAAUGACAGACAUUUAUGCUGUCAUUUUUUACUAUCAGGAUUUGAUUGGUGUGCGGACACU